RNAcentral lists this ribosomal RNA (609 nucleotides) under uncultured Porphyromonadaceae bacterium. Its description in RNAcentral is "bacterial SSU rRNA". It matches the Rfam family "Bacterial small subunit ribosomal RNA", at positions 232 to 838 of the family's 1533-position model. Lineage: Bacteria; Pseudomonadati; Bacteroidota; Bacteroidia; Bacteroidales; Porphyromonadaceae. The record is from RNAcentral.
UGCGUCCCAUUAGCUAGUUGGUGAGGUAACGGCUCACCAAGGCGACGAUGGGUAGGGGAACUGAGAGGUUGAACCCCCACACUGGUACUGAGACACGGACCAGACUCCUACGGGAGGCAGCAGUGAGGAAUAUUGGUCAAUGGGCGAGAGCCUGAACCAGCCAAGUCGCGUGAAGGAUGACUGUCUUAUGGAUUGUAAACUUCUUUUAUACGGGAAUAACAAGAGUCACGUGUGGCUCCCUGCAUGUACCGUAUGAAUAAGCAUCGGCUAACUCCGUGCCAGCAGCCGCGGUAAUACGGAGGAUGCGAGCGUUAUCCGGAUUUAUUGGGUUUAAAGGGUGCGUAGGCGGCCUGUUAAGUCAGCGGUGAAAUCUAGGAGCUUAACUCCUAAAUUGCCAUUGAUACUGGCGGGCUUGAGUGUAGAUGAGGUAGGCGGAAUGCGUGGUGUAGCGGUGGAAUGCAUAGAUAUCACGCAGAACUCCGAUUGCGAAGGCAGCUUACUAAGGUACAACUGACGCUGAAGCACGAAAGCGUGGGUAUCAAACAGGAUUAGAUACCUUGGUAGUCCACGCAGUAAACGAUGAUAACUGGGCGUAUGCGAUAUACAGUA